RNA transcript from Trichomycterus rosablanca, 778 nucleotides. It is a transcript of the gene named protein CFAP276-like, with no coding region annotated. The transcript is spliced from 7 exons. The record is from RefSeq and is a predicted model, not a curated record. Lineage: Eukaryota; Metazoa; Chordata; Actinopteri; Siluriformes; Trichomycteridae.
UCGUAGCAACGGUGCACAAGAGGACAACAAUCCACCUGUUACAUUCCGAUAGAGCUUUUACAGCAGGGAAUAUAAAUAAUGUCCCAAAACCGAGAUCCAUUUUCUUUUCCUAAAUAUGAGAAUGAUCACAAUUUUACAGGAAUCAAACAAUGUCAGAAAGUGCUGUAUAAGAAGCCCACACACAUGGCGCAGAAUGAUGAACCCUGGAGCAGUCUGAAUAGCAGAGCUACGGAAUCCAGCAUGAAGAGAAGUGCUCUUUAUCAGGAUCCAGAGGUACAAAAUGACAGCCUGGACUUCCAUCUUAAUGCUGUCUAUGAUAACCAUCUUGAUUUAUUUCUAAAUAAAAAUGAAAUCUUGUUCCAGAAAGAGACUCUGAUGAGUAACCACAGGGAAAAUGAUGCUUCAAAAUGUGGGACUUACAAGAAGGAAAUUAAAGUGUGGGUGAACCCUCAGAAAACUUCCAUUUACAGCAUUACAGGAGUAAUAGAUGCUUCAGUCACCUGGCUUUAAACAUUACAAAAAAGAGACCUAUGGAGGUCACUCAUGUGUGUCCCGUCAGAGCACAGAUGGUACUGAGGAGGUCACACAGCUACGAAAGCUAAAUGGUUUUCCAAAUGAGAAUCACAGUCAUCAAGAUCUCCAUAAAGAACUCUUGCUUAGCUAUAAGAGAUGGAACUUCAUAAGAACAAGGUCAAGCAAUAGAAGACAGAGGGCAGAGACUGCCAGCUCAUUCAAAAGCCACUGUGUCUCAUACUCACUAUGAAAUAUGAGGGGGAUU